Long non-coding RNA from Odocoileus virginianus texanus, 809 nucleotides. RefSeq lists it as uncharacterized. The record is from RefSeq and is a predicted model, not a curated record. Lineage: Eukaryota; Metazoa; Chordata; Mammalia; Artiodactyla; Cervidae.
CCCAGCCUCUCAGGGCUCUCAGCCUGGGGCUCACUGGGACUGGAAUCAUGUUUCUUUUAAGGAGCCCUGUUAUGGACUGAAUUGCAUCAACCACCCACUCCCACCCCCAAUUCAUAUGAUGAAGCAUAGCCCUCAAGAUGACUGUAUUUGGAGAUCAGGUUUUAAGAAGUGGCCAGAGAAGAAUCUUAGCUUUGGGGCCCCUGGAAACAGAUUCUGAGCCAAGAGCUGAUUCUGAGCCAAGAGCUGGAGAACUCCGAGGUUGGGCAUCUUCCUGUGUCAGAGAAAGACGCUGGGCAAAGAGAGUCCUAUGUCCUGGCAAUCGGAAGCCUUCAUGGUGGGUGCCAAGGGGUGUGGGUGGGGCUGAUGUGCGUGGAGUGUCUGCUACCAAACACCUCUCUGAGGAGAUCACGCUGGAACCGACAUCAGAAUGAUGAGAAACCAGCCAUCGGAAGAGUCAGGAGAAGAGGUCUGUAGGUGGAGGGAAGGAAAGGUCUCAGCCCUGGCCAUUGCUGCUGGAGCGUCACUUGCCAGGGCAGAGAGAUCGUCUGGGGCAGCUGGGCCAAGAGAUGGAUCAAGACUCCCUCCGAGAGAUUACCCAACCCUCCCUCCUCACCCCCUUCCUGCAGACGCCGCCUGCCCUUUGUCCUCACCUGCAGCAGAGUCACUCCACAACUGUCCUCUUGCUCCGCCUCUGCUCCCCACGUUGGCCCCACAUUUUCUGAGCUUAUUCUGUCUUCUUUGGCCUCAGAGCCUUAGCUUGUGUUCCCUCUUCUGAGAAUGCCCUUCCACCCCAUUUCUGCCUGAUGAAA